RNAcentral lists this ribosomal RNA (460 nucleotides) under uncultured bacterium. RNAcentral describes it as "partial 16S ribosomal RNA". It matches the Rfam family "Bacterial small subunit ribosomal RNA", at positions 338 to 795 of the family's 1533-position model. The record is from RNAcentral.
CCUACGGGAGGCAGCAGUGAGGAAUAUUGGUCAAUGGGCGCGAGCCUGAACCAGCCAAGUCGCGUGAGGGAGGACGGCCCUACGGGUUGUAAACCUCUUUUGCCGGGGAGCAACGGGCGUCACGUGUGGCGCCACUGAGAGUACCCGGAGAAAAAGCAUCGGCUAACUCCGUGCCAGCAGCCGCGGUAAUACGGAGGAUGCGAGCUUUAUCCGGAUUUAUUGGGUUAAAAGGGUGCGUAGGCGGAUUGUUAAGUCAGUGGUAAAAUUGAGGGGCUCAACCCCUCCCCGCCGUUGAAACUGGCGCUCUUGAGUGGAAGAGAGGUAUGCGGAAUGCGUGGUGUAGCGGUGAAAUGCAUAGAUAUCACGCAGAACCCCGAUUGCGAAGGCAGCAUGCCGGCGUACGACUGACGCUGAAGCACGAAAGCGUGGGGAUCGAACAGGAUUAGAUACCCCAGUAGUC